GUCUACGAUCAAGCUACCCUGAACAAACCUGAUCCUGUCUGAUCUCAGAAGCUAAGCAGGGCAGGGCCUGGUUAGUACUGGAUGGGAGACCACCUAGGAAGACCAGGUGCUAUAGGCA
RNAcentral lists this ribosomal RNA (118 nucleotides) under Pteropus alecto (black flying fox). The record is from RNAcentral. Lineage: Eukaryota; Metazoa; Chordata; Mammalia; Chiroptera; Pteropodidae.